Molecule: ribosomal RNA, 344 nt
Filed under: Hippichthys penicillus (beady pipefish)
Lineage: Eukaryota; Metazoa; Chordata; Actinopteri; Syngnathiformes; Syngnathidae
Description: partial 12S ribosomal RNA
Rfam family: Bacterial small subunit ribosomal RNA
Source: RNAcentral
UGAUAUAAUAUUACAUUUUUAUCCGCCAGGGAAUUACGAGCACUAGCUUAAAACCCAAAGGACUUGGCGGUGCUUCAAACCCACCUAGAGGAGCCUGUUCUAGAACCGAUAAUCCCCGUUAAACCUCACCCCUCCUUGUUUAAUCCGCUUGUAUACCGCCGUCGUCAGCUUACCUUUUAAAGGAAUAAUAGUAAGCAAAAUUGGUACAACCUAAAACGUCAGGUCAAGGUGUAGCAUAUGGAAGGGAAAGAAAUGGGCUACAUUCAUCCACUGAUGAACACGAAUUAAUUAUUGAAAAAUAACUAUGAAGGAGGAUUUAGCAGUAAGAAAAAAAUAGAGAGUUC